CGCAGCAGUCGCGAAAACUUCACACUGGGGGCAACCCCGAUGAGGGAAUUCCUAGUGCCUGCACAUUUGUGUUUGGCUUUUCUUUAGCGUAGAUAACUAAAGGAAUAAGGGCUGGGUAAGACGGGUGCCAGCCGCCGCGGUAAUACCCGCAGCCCUAGUGGUGGUCGACAUUAUUGAGUCUAAAACGUUCGUAGCCGGUUUGGUAAAUCUUUGGGUAAAUCGGAGGGCUUAACCUUCCGAAGUCCGAGGAGACUGCCAAACUUGGGACCGGGAGAGGCAAGAGGUACUUUUGGGGUAGGGGUAAAAUCCUGUAAUCCUAGAAGGACCACCGGUGGCGAAGGCGUCUUGCUAGAACGGAUCCGACGGUGAGGGACGAAGCCCUGGGUCGCAAACGGGAUUAGAUACCCCGGUAGUCCAGGGUGUAAACGCUGCAGACUUGGUGUUGGGAACCCUUCGGGGGUGUCCAGUGCCGGAGAGAAGUUGUUAAGUCUGCUACUUGGGGAGUACGUCCGCAAGGAUGAAACU
Molecule: ribosomal RNA, 525 nt
Filed under: uncultured archaeon
Lineage: Archaea
Description: bacterial SSU rRNA
Rfam family: Archaeal small subunit ribosomal RNA
Source: RNAcentral